RNAcentral lists this ribosomal RNA (387 nucleotides) under uncultured bacterium. Its description in RNAcentral is "bacterial SSU rRNA". It matches the Rfam family "Bacterial small subunit ribosomal RNA", at positions 30 to 417 of the family's 1533-position model. The record is from RNAcentral.
AUUGAACGCUGGCGGCAUGCCUUACACAUGCAAGUCGAACGGCAGCACGGACUUCGGUCUGGUGGCGAGUGGCGAACGGGUGAGUAAUGUAUCGGAACGUACCUUUCAGUGGGGGAUAACGUAGCGAAAGUUACGCUAAUACCGCAUAUUCUGUGAGCAGGAAAGCAGGGGAUCGCAAGACCUUGCGCUGAUUGAGCGGCCGAUAUCAGAUUAGCUAGUUGGUGAGGUAAAGGCUCACCAAGGCGACGAUCUGUAGCGGGUCUGAGAGGAUGAUCCGCCACACUGGAACUGAGACACGGUCCAGACUCCUACGGGAGGCAGCAGUGGGGAAUUUUGGACAAUGGGGGCAACCCUGAUUCAGCCAUGCCGCGUGAGUGAAGAAGGCCU